This 253-nucleotide ribosomal RNA is filed under the name uncultured bacterium. RNAcentral's name for it is "partial 16S ribosomal RNA". It matches the Rfam family "Bacterial small subunit ribosomal RNA", at positions 524 to 776 of the family's 1533-position model. The record is from RNAcentral.
UACGUAGGGGGCAAGCGUUGUCCGGAAUCAUUGGGCGUAAAGAGCGUGUAGGCGGCCUGAUAAGUCCGCUGUGAAAGUCCAGGGCUCAACCCUGGGAUGCCGGUGGAUACUGUCGGGCUCGAGUCCGGAAGAGGAGUGUGGAAUUCCUGGUGUAGCGGUGAAAUGCGCAGAUAUCAGGAGGAACACCAAUGGCGAAGGCAGCACUCUGGGCCGUAACUGACGCUGAGGAGCGAAAGCGUGGGGAGCGAACAGG